RNAcentral lists this ribosomal RNA (1557 nucleotides) under Triticum aestivum (bread wheat). RNAcentral's name for it is "partial small subunit ribosomal RNA". Lineage: Eukaryota; Viridiplantae; Streptophyta; Magnoliopsida; Poales; Poaceae. The record is from RNAcentral.
AUGGAGACGGAUAAUAUAGGAAUUGAAAUGGAAGCUCUUGAGCUCGUGUUUAGUGAUGCAAGUUCAGAGCCGAUGAAACUAUCCUAUGGACUUUUGAGAUCUAUUACGGACAAUUUUUCAAAUGAAAUUGGUUGUGGUGGGUUUGGAGCUGUUUACUUGGGACAUAUAGGAAAUGGGAAAGUUGCCGUGAAGAAGUUUUCCAAUCCACAUGCUUUGCCGGAGAAGCAAUUCUUGAGUGAGAUCACAUGCUUACAAAAGGCGAAGCACCAGAAUAUAGUAAGAUUUAUAGGCUAUUGUUCAGAAAUGCAUGGGGAAUUGCUUGUACAUAAUGGAGAAAAUGUAAUGGCGGAGGUACAGAAGAAGUUGCUCUGCUUUGAAUAUGUUCCUAAUGGUGACAUUCGACAAUAUCUUCAACAAGAGAAUCCUCAGGGAGAUGACUGGUCUGUACGCUACCAAAUGAUUAGAGGAAUUUGUCAUGGGUUGCACUAUCUUCAUGACAAGCAAAUUAACCAUCUUGACCUGAAACCUGAAAAUAUUAUGUUGGAUGCUAAUAUGAAACCAAAAAUUACAGAUUUUGGUUUGUCAAGAUUCUUAGAUGAAGGACAAUCCAAAAUGGUUACGAAGCACAUAGUUGGAACACUGCGAUAUAUUGCACCGGAAAUCAUAGAUAAAGGAGAAAUAUCAUUUAAGUCAGACAUGUAUGCUUUGGGCAUUGUUAUCAUAGAACUAUUAACGAGGACCAGUAUGAUAAGUCUUGACAAUUGGGAUGAAUCGAUAGACGUGGACUGCCCUCAAAUGAGGAUGUGCAUCGGAAUAGCACGAAAUUGCACGGAUUCUGACAAAGAUAAGAGACCAACCAUAUGGCAAAUAAUCCACGAGUUGGGCGACCUGGAAAGCAUGAUUCUACGGUCUUCCAUAAACCAGAAGGCUGGAAACAUGACACGUUGUGCUUGGUCCGUGUUAGUAGCAUUUAUCUCGUUUCAUGGAAUUUUCACCCCACCUGGUGGUUACAGAACUGAUGGCACACCAACAUACUCUGGAACAUAUUUCUUCGACGCAUACAUCCUGGCUGUAAUAAUAGCAUUGGGUUGCUCCGCUUCAGUAACCAUCAGUCUCAUGUACGCUCGAGUGGCUUUGGUGGAGUCUCGCACCCGGCUUGGCCGCUUUGUCAUAUCAGCAACCUAUUUUUGUUUAUUCUGCUCGCUUGCAAGUUCCAUUGCUGCCUAUGUGCUAGGCACGUUGUUUUUGGCUCCUGAUGCGCACAGGACGGCAGCUCUACUUUGUUCAUUGGUGUUCCUUGUAGUACGUAUGUUGGGGUACAUGGUAGGACCUACAAGAGCCAUUUCUGUUGCAACAACCCAACUUGUUCGAAUGGGCAGAAAAGCAUUUUUCGUCUUCUCACGUGUUGUUGUUAUCUCCCUGCGAACACUGGCAGCAUGUUGGCCCUUAGUAAUAAUCGUCGGUUGGACUGCCAUUUCCAGAAAAUAUGGAGACAAUAAACUUACCUGGAUCAGUUCCCGUACAAAAGAUGUUGCCAAGGUACAUUCACUUAAAUGA